UCCUACGGGAGGCAGCAGUAAGGAAUAUUCCACAAUGAGCGAAAGCUUGAUGGAGCGACACAGAGUGCAGGAUGAAGUCUUUAGGGAUGUAAACUGCUGUUGUAAGGGAAGAAAAAACUAGAUAGGAAAUGAUUUAGUCUUGACGGUACCUUAUUAGAAAGUGACGGCAAACUAUGUGCCAGCAGCCGCGGUAAUACAUAGGUCGCAAGCGUUAUCCGGGAUUAUUGGGCGUAAAGCGUCCGCAGGUUUUUUGUUAAGUUUAAGGUUAAAUGCUAAAGCUCAACUUUAGUUCGCUUUAGAUACUGACAAAAUAGAAUUAUGAAGAGGUUAGCGGAAUUCCUAGUGGAGCGGUGGAAUGCGUAGAUAUUAGGAAGAACACCAAUAGGCGAAGGCAGCUAACUGGUCAUAUAUUGACACUAAUGGACGAAAGCGUGGGGAGCAAACAGGAUUAGAUACCCUGGUAGUCC
Molecule: ribosomal RNA, 467 nt
Filed under: uncultured bacterium
Lineage: Bacteria
Description: bacterial SSU rRNA
Rfam family: Bacterial small subunit ribosomal RNA
Source: RNAcentral